RNAcentral lists this ribosomal RNA (396 nucleotides) under uncultured bacterium. Its description in RNAcentral is "partial 16S ribosomal RNA". It matches the Rfam family "Bacterial small subunit ribosomal RNA", at positions 523 to 918 of the family's 1533-position model. The record is from RNAcentral.
AUACGUAGGUGGCAAGCGUUGUCCGGAUUUACUGGGUGUAGAGGGCGUGUAGCCGGGAAGGCAAGUCAGAUGUGAAAUCUGGAGGCUCAACCUCCAAACUGCAUUUGAAACUGCUUUUCUUGAGUAUCGGAGAGGUAAUCGGAAUUCCUUGUGUAGCGGUGAAAUGCGUAGAUAUAAGGAAGAACACCAGUGGCGAAGGCGGAUAACUGGACGACAACUGACUGUGAGGCGCGAAAGCGUGGGGAGCAAACAGGAUUAGAUACCCUGGUAGUCCACGCGGUAAACGAUGAUCACUAGGUGUUGGCACGCAUAGCGUGUCGGUGCCGCAGCAAACGCAAUAAGUGAUCCACCUGGGGAGUACGUUCGCAAGAAUGAAACUCAAAGGAAUUGACGGGG